GGUUAAGCGACUAAGCGUACACGGUGGAUGCCCUGGCAGUCAGAGGCGAUGAAGGACGUGCUAAUCUGCGAAAAGCGUCGGUAAGGUGAUAUGAACCGUUAUAACCGGCGAUGUCCGAAUGGGGAAACCCAGUGCAAUUCGUUGCACUAUCGUUAACUGAAUACAUAGGUUAACGAGGCGAACCGGGGGAACUGAAACAUCUAAGUACCCCGAGGAAAAGAAAUCAACCGAGAUUCCCCCAGUAGCGGCGAGCGAACGGGGAGCAGCCCAGAGUCUGAAUCAGCUUGUGUGUUAGUGGAACGGUCUGGAAAGUCCGACGGUACAGGGUGAUAGUCCCGUACACCAAAAUGCACAGGCUGUGAACUCGAAGAGUAGGGCGGGACACGUGGUAUCCUGUCUGAAUAUGGGGGGACCAUCCUCCAAGGCUAAAUACUCCUGACUGACCGAUAGUGAACCAGUACCGUGAGGGAAAGGCGAAAAGAACCCCGGCGAGGGGAGUGAAAAAGAACCUGAAACCGUGUACGUACAAGCAGUGGGAGCACCUUCGGGUGUGACUGCGUACCUUUUGUAUAAUGGGUCAGCGACUUAUAUUCUGUAGCAAGGUUAACCGUAUAGGGGAGCCGCAGGGAAACCGAGUCUUAACUGGGCGUUAAGUUGCAGGGUAUAGACCCGAAACCCGGUGAUCUAGCCAUGGGCAGGUUGAAGGUUGGGUAACACUAACUGGAGGACCGAACCGACUAAUGUUGAAAAAUUAGCGGAUGACUUGUGGCUGGGGGUGAAAGGCCAAUCAAACCGGGAGAUAGCUGGUUCUCCCCGAAAGCUAUUUAGGUAGCGCCUCGUGAACUCAUCUUCGGGGGUAGAGCACUGUUUCGGCUAGGGGGUCAUCCCGACUUACCAACCCGAUGCAAACUACGAAUACCGAAGAAUGUUAUCACGGGAGACACACGGCGGGUGCUAACGUCCGUCGUGAAGAGGGAAACAACCCAGACCGCCAGCUAAGGUCCCAAAGUCAUGGUUAAGUGGGAAACGAUGUGGGAAGGCACAGACAGCCAGGAUGUUGGCUUAGAAGCAGCCAUCAUUUAAAGAAAGCGUAAUAGCUCACUGGUCGAGUCGGCCUGCGCGGAAGAUGUAACGGGGCUAAACCAUGCACCGAAGCUGCGGCAGCGACACUAUGUGUUGUUGGGUAGGGGAGCGUUCUGUAAGCCUGCGAAGGUGUGCUGUGAGGCAUGCUGGAGGUAUCAGAAGUGCGAAUGCUGACAUAAGUAACGAUAAAGCGGGUGAAAAGCCCGCUCGCCGGAAGACCAAGGGUUCCUGUCCAACGUUAAUCGGGGCAGGGUGAGUCGACCCCUAAGGCGAGGCCGAAAGGCGUAGUCGAUGGGAAACAGGUUAAUAUUCCUGUACUUGGUGUUACUGCGAAGGGGGGACGGAGAAGGCUAUGUUAGCCGGGCGACGGUUGUCCCGGUUUAAACAUGUAGGCUGGUUGUCCAGGCAAAUCCGGAUAAUCAAGGCUGAGGUGUGAUGACGAGGCACUACGGUGCUGAAGUAACAAAUGCCCUGCUUCCAGGAAAAGCCUCUAAGCAUCAGGUAACAUCAAAUCGUACCCCAAACCGACACAGGUGGUCAGGUAGAGAAUACCAAGGCGCUUGAGAGAACUCGGGUGAAGGAACUAGGCAAAAUGGUGCCGUAACUUCGGGAGAAGGCACGCUGGUGUGUAGGUGAAGUCCCUGCGGAUGGAGCUGAGACCAGUCGAAGAUACCAGCUGGCUGCAACUGUUUAUUAAAAACACAGCACUGUGCAAACACGAAAGUGGACGUAUACGGUGUGACGCCUGCCCGGUGCCGGAAGGUUAAUUGAUGGGGUUAUCCGUAAGGAGAAGCUCUUGAUCGAAGCCCCGGUAAACGGCGGCCGUAACUAUAACGGUCCUAAGGUAGCGAAAUUCCUUGUCGGGUAAGUUCCGACCUGCACGAAUGGCGUAAUGAUGGCCAGGCUGUCUCCACCCGAGACUCAGUGAAAUUGAACUCGCUGUGAAGAUGCAGUGUACCCGCGGCAAGACGGAAAGACCCCGUGAACCUUUACUAUAGCUUGACACUGAACAUUGAGCCUUGAUGUGUAGGAUAGGUGGGAGGCUUUGAAGCGUGGACGCCAGUCUGCGUGGAGCCAACCUUGAAAUACCACCCUUUAAUGUUUGAUGUUCUAACGUUGGCCCCUUACCGGGGUUGCGGACAGUGUCUGGUGGGUAGUUUGACUGGGGCGGUCUCCUCCCAAAGCGUAACGGAGGAGCACGAAGGUUAGCUAAUCCUGGUCGGACAUCAGGAGGUUAGUGCAAUGGCAUAAGCUAGCUUGACUGCGAGCGUGACGGCGCGAGCAGGUGCGAAAGCAGGUCAUAGUGAUCCGGUGGUUCUGAAUGGAAGGGCCAUCGCUCAACGGAUAAAAGGUACUCCGGGGAUAACAGGCUGAUACCGCCCAAGAGUUCAUAUCGACGGCGGUGUUUGGCACCUCGAUGUCGGCUCAUCACAUCCUGGGGCUGAAGUAGGUCCCAAGGGUAUGGCUGUUCGCCAUUUAAAGUGGUACGCGAGCUGGGUUUAGAACGUCGUGAGACAGUUCGGUCCCUAUCUGCCGUGGGCGCUGGAGAAUUGAGGGGGGCUGCUCCUAGUACGAGAGGACCGGAGUGGACGCAUCACUGGUGUUCGGGUUGUCAUGCCAAUGGCACUGCCCGGUAGCUAAAUGCGGAAGAGAUAAGUGCUGAAAGCAUCUAAGCACGAAACUUGCCCCGAGAUGAGUUCUCCCUGAGACUUUAAGUCUCCUGAAGGAACGUUGAAGACGACGACGUUGAUAGGCCGGGUGUGUAAGCGCAGCGAUGCGUUGAGCUAACCGGUACUAAUGAACCGUGAGGCUUAACCUU
This 2902-nucleotide ribosomal RNA is filed under the name Klebsiella pneumoniae. RNAcentral describes it as "23S ribosomal RNA". It matches the Rfam family "Bacterial large subunit ribosomal RNA". Lineage: Bacteria; Pseudomonadati; Pseudomonadota; Gammaproteobacteria; Enterobacterales; Enterobacteriaceae. The record is from RNAcentral.